This 484-nucleotide ribosomal RNA is filed under the name uncultured bacterium. RNAcentral describes it as "partial 16S ribosomal RNA". It matches the Rfam family "Bacterial small subunit ribosomal RNA", at positions 29 to 507 of the family's 1533-position model. The record is from RNAcentral.
AAUGAACGCUGGCGGCAGGCCUAACACAUGCAAGUCGAGCGGAUGAAGGGAGCUUGCUCCUGGAUUCAGCGGCGGACGGGGGAGUAAUGCCUAGGAAUCUGCCUGGACGUGGGGGAUAACGUCCGGAAACGGGCGCUAAUACCGCAUACGACCAGAGGGAGAAAGUGGGGGAUCUUCGGAUCUCACGCUAACAGAUGAGCGUAGGGCGGAUCAGCUAGUUGGUGGGGUAAAGGCCUACAGAGGCGGCGAUCCGUAACUGGUCUGAGAGGAUGACCAGUCAGCCUGGCACUGAGACACGGUCCAGACUCCUACGGGAGGCAGCAGUGGGGACUCUUGGACAAAGCGGCAGAGCCUGAUCCAGCCCUGCCGCCUGUGUGAAGAACGUCUUCGGAUUCUAAAGUGAUUUAAGUUGUGGGGUUGUAAAGUACGUUUAUCCCUGGCUAUUUUGACGUUACCGACAGAAUAAGCACCGGCUAACUCCGUG